UCGAACCACAACCCAAUUACAUAUAUAAAUGAUUUACUUCCCUCGUCUUCUUCCUUUUCAAUUCCAUCAUAUCUCUCUCUGUCCACCAUUUUUGCACCUCCAAAUGAUAAGAUGGCAAAGCAGGGGAGUUCAGUUUUCCUCGAAGAAUGGUUGAAGAGCAUCAGCGGUAUUGAUAACUCCAAACCCACUUCCUCUUCUGCUCGAGAAAUUAUCCAAGCCUGGGCUGAGCUUAGAAGCUCUUUGGAGCAUCAAUUGUUCGAUGAUCGUCACAUUCAAUCCCUUAAAAUUCUUGUUAACUCUCAGUCUUCACUCUAUGUUGCAGACCCUCAAGCUAAGUUGGUGAUUUCUUUACUUUCUUCUCCUAAUUUCUCUAUUUCUGAUGAAUCCUAUCCCCUCUUUUUGAGGAUUCUUUAUAUCUGGGUCAGAAAAUCUCUCCGACCCUCUUUAGUUCUUCUCGAUUCAUCCGUUGAGGUUCUCUCUCAGAUUUUCUCUUCCAAAAUUGAAUUGCGGAAGAAACCUUUGUUUAUCUCUGAAGGGGUUUUAGUUUUGGGUGCAAUUUCGUAUCAGCUUUCGGCUUCAGAAAAGUCAAAAUUAUGCUGUUUGGAGUUACUUUGCAGGGUUUUGGAAGAAGAUUACCUACUGGUUGGAGGGAUAGUUCCAGAAUUUCUCGCUGGGAUUGGUUAUGCUUUAUCUUCAUCAGUAAAUGCUCAUGUUGUUAGAUUGUUAGAUUCUUUGUUAGGAAUUUGGAGUAAGGUAAAUGGCCCUAUUGAUACUCUUUCUAGUGGGUUAAUGAUUCUUCACAUGAUUGAAUGGGUGACCUCUGGUUUGAUUAAUCUUCAUUCUUUUGAGAAAUUAGAUGUCUUUAGCCAUGCGACUUUAGUGUCUUCAAAGGAAAGUUAUGCUUCAUUUGCUGUUGUAAUGGCUGCUGCUGGAAUAUUGAGGGGUUUUAAUACUUACAAAGGCUUGUUGAAUAGUUCAGAAAGAGAAACGAUAUCUAGAAUAAGGAUUGCAGCUCAGGAUUGUUUAGAAUCAAUAGCAAGGAAUUUUAUUUCUACUAUGGAAGCAUCUUCAAUUACAGGCAAUGACCAUAGAAGGAGCGUGCUUCUAUUGUGUAUUUCAUUGGCAAUAGCACGUUGUGGCCCUGUGUCAGCUCGCCCGCCUGUGCUCAUUUCCGUUGUUUAUGGUUUGUUGACUGAAAUAUUUCCUUUGCAGCGUUUAUAUGCCAAAAUCAAUGAAUUUUCUUUUGCCGAGUUGGGUGUUUUGGGGCUUACUCUAGUGAAGGAGCAUCUGGGUAGUAUUCCUUUUAAGGAAGCCGGGGCCAUUGCUGGUGUUCUUUGCAGUCAGUAUGCUUCACUUGGGGAAGAGGAAAGAAGUAUUGUGGAGAAUCUUGUAUGGGAUUACUGUCGAGAUGUCUACUCAAGGCACAGACUAGUUGGUUUGGUGCUUCGUGGCAGAGAGGAUGAAUUACUAGAGAAUAUCGAGAAAAUUGCAGAGUCUGCUUUUCUCAUGGUUGUAGUUUUUGCAUUAGCUGUCACAAAAGAAAAGUUGGAUUCCAAAUAUACACUAGAAAGUCAGUUUGAUGUAUCGGUAAGAAUACUUGUUUCAUUCUCUUGUAUGGAAUACUUUAGGCGUAUUCGCUUGCAAGAAUAUAUGGAAACUAUCCGAGGUGUUGUUGCGAGCAUUCAGGGGAAUGAGUCUGCCUGUGUCUCUUUCAUCGAGUCAAUGCCCACAUACCAAGAUCAAACAAAUGGCCCUGAUAACUCUAUUGGGCAGAAAAUAAAAUAUUCAUGGGUGAAGGACGAAGUGCAAACUGCACGUAUGUUGUUUUAUAUACGAGUCAUUCCAACUUGCGUCGAGCAUGUUCCUACUCAAGUGUAUGGGAAGGUGGUAGCUCCAACAAUGUUUUUAUAUAUGGGACAUCAAAAUGCAAAAGUUGCCCGUGCUUCACACUCUGUGUUUACAGCUUUCAUGUCCGGGAAGGAUGACAUUGACGAUGAAAAGAGAGCAACAUUGAAGGAGGAGCUUGUUUUCUACUACGUUGAGAGAUCUUUAUCAGGGUAUCCUGGCAUUACACCAUUCGAGGGCAUGGCUUCAGGAGUUGCAGCUUUGGUUCGAUAUCUUCCUGCAGGAAGUCCAGCAAUCUUUUAUUGUAUUGACAGUCUUACUGUAAAAGCUACUAGCCUUUGCAGUGAAAACUUCAUGGAUGACGGAGAUUUGUGGAAGACUUGGCAAGGAGACUUGGAGCCUUCCAAGAAAAUUUUAGACAUGCUAUUACGGCUCAUUUCUCUCGUUGAUAUACAGGUCCUACCAAGCUUGAUGAAGAGUUUAGCACAACUGAUCAUCAAGUUACCUACAGAAGGCCAAAAUCUGGUUCUUGAUCAGUUAUACUCUCUCGUUUCGGAAGCCGAUGAUGUCACCCGUAAACCUAUGUUAGUCUCAUGGCUACAGUCGUUAUCUUAUCUUUGUUCCCUAUCUAAGAGUGCAGAGGCACGUUCCGAUGAGAAGCAAAGUACACGGCUUGCAAACUUUGCAUGGCUUGUUGACCCGUUGAACCGUAUUCGAUCCUAUGCACGACUUUGAGUUUGUUGGGAAUUCUUCAAAAGUUCACUGCCCUCUUUCCAACCAAAUUGGCCAAGAACAUUGCAUGAAUAACUCAAUAAUUCAGGAAUGGCACCAAUUACUCGAAAACAAAGAUGCCACAAGAGCACGUGAGGGAGAGUGAUCCAAAAGUUUCACUCUCUUCUAAGCUGCUUAACCUAUUGCUCAUAUCCGUAAAGGUAGAUGGUUCACAUUUGCUCAAUCUGCACUCUCAAGUUCAAGGCUGACUUAGAACAUGUGGUCUAGAAGGCAAGGGUUGGUUGACAAAGGUUCUUAAAGAAGCAAGAUUGGCUGCCCUUGGCCACUCCUAAAUAUGGUUUUGUUGUCAAAACUUGCUUGCCGGGAGCACAACAUAUUUCAAUCAAGCUACUGUCCCUAGUUAAUCUGAGGAUUGCACUCCAUUUUAGUCAAACUGCAAAGCAUGUAAGAUGAGAAAAGCUUUGAAACAUCCCCAGUCUCGGUCUUUGUAUUUCAGUAGAGUUUUUCCCAUUCUUUUAGUUACCUUAAAAGGAAUUGUUUACAAAACAAAAGGGCAGAGGCCGAACCAUAACAAAUGAGAAGCCAUGCAACGCAACUCCAGCACAGGUACAUUUAUGAUAUAGUCAACCCAUUCUUAUGUUAGUUAUUGUACGAGAACCACACGUUCGCAUCAAAGGCGUCGCAGCUGAUCUUUUAUUCCAUUAUGAUUAAAUCUCCCUCAACUAGAAUGGAAGGGCUGUGAUCAGUCUCUCCAACCAUCAAUUUUUUACCACCGGAAGAGGAAUAAGAGCAUGUACGUGUAAUAUAAUGUUAUGAUUAUUUUGUUUCUGUUAUAAUCCACGAUGGAAGAUGCAUUCCUCCUUGACUAUGGUAUUGUAUAUAUUAGCCUUUUCCUUGCUUGUUCCA
Cucumis melo (muskmelon) is the source of this 3483-nucleotide RNA transcript. RefSeq lists it as uncharacterized. Lineage: Eukaryota; Viridiplantae; Streptophyta; Magnoliopsida; Cucurbitales; Cucurbitaceae. The transcript is spliced from 8 exons. The record is from RefSeq and is a predicted model, not a curated record.